RNA transcript from Magnolia sinica, 5336 nucleotides. RefSeq lists it as uncharacterized. The transcript is spliced from 3 exons. Lineage: Eukaryota; Viridiplantae; Streptophyta; Magnoliopsida; Magnoliales; Magnoliaceae. The record is from RefSeq and is a predicted model, not a curated record.
CAGGAGGAAGAAGAAAAGGCUACCCGACAUAAGAGGAAGAAAAAAACAGCAGGGAGAAAAACAAACGGGGAAUUCUCUCUCUCUCUCUCUCUCUCUCUCUCUCUCUCUCUCUCCUCAUUGAUUUUCAGUAAUUCAAUCUCAAAUCCAUCUGCAAUCUCUGUAAUCUCUCUUUCAUUUCCCCUCUGUUUUUUCUUAAUUUCAGGAGUGGAGCUGCUUGUUUUUAUUAUCUUUUGGUUUCAUUUUCUUCCAAAAGAUCUGAUUAUUGUAGGAUUUUGGAGAUGGGUUUUUGAAAAUUUUUAUUAUUGGAGGUGGGUUUUUGAUAUUUCUGCAGGUUGCGCUUCCUAGAGACCAUUUCAGGAUUGAAACUGCUUGCUUCUAUGGAUUUUCUGAUCUCUUUUGCAUCCAAAACAUCUGUUUUUUGUAGGAUUUUGGAGGUGGGUUUUUGAAAUUUUGUGUGAUUGGAUGUGGGAUUUUGAUAUUUAUGCAGACUAGGCUUCAUAGAGACCAUUUCAGGAUUGAGAUUGCUUGCUUCUUCGGAUUUUCUGGUCUCUUUUUCAUCCAAAAGAUAUGUUUUUGUAGGAUUUUGGAGGUGGGUUUUUUGUAAUUUUAUUAAUUUCCUCGAGACGGAUUGAAAUUCCUAUUGUUUUUUAAAUUAUCUGAUCUCCUUUUUCCAAAAUAUCUUAUUUUUGUAGGUUUUUGGAGGUGUAAUUGUUUAUUUUCCUUGAGUCGGUAUCAAAUUUCAAUUGAAACUCUCUCUCUCUCUCUCUCUCUCUCUCUCUCUCUCUCAUCUGCCCAUCAUUUCAUCCAAAAGAUCUGAUUUUUGUAGGUUUUUUUAGGUUGGUUUUGUAGUUUCUACAUAUUUUUACAGAUAGAAACCGCUUGUCUUUUAUCAUUUGGUCUCAUUUUCUCUCAAAAGAUUCGAUUUUUGUAGGUUCCGGAGUUGGGUUUUGUGAAUAAUUGCAGAUUUGUCUUCCUUGAAAUCAAAUUCGUAAGAAGAAGAAUAAAAGAUGGGUAUUAAUGCAAAGGGUAUUGUGAUUAAUAUCGGAAAAGUUGUGAUUUUUACCGUUAGAACGUGUUUUAGAUCCGUUUACAAUCAUCCAUUUGUUCUGGUUAUCGCGAUUAUCUCUCUUCUACUGUAUAGAUUUCUCCCGUCUGUGUUUGGUUUGUUCAUUUCGUCAUCCCCUGUCAUUGUCUGCACUGCUGUGCUUCUUGGAAUCCUAUUGAGUUUCGGUCAGCCGAAUGUACUCAAAAUCGAAGAAGAGGUGGAGAAGACGUCUCGAGGGAUGUCUUCAUUGAAAGCUGAGGGUGUUGAUGAUGAUCUUGUUGUUAAGAAAGGUGGGAAUUUUGCCUUUGGAGCUGAUCUAAUGAGGAGAAGAGGGGUUGGUGAGAAGAAGAAUAAGGAGGCUGGCCCUGUUGGAGGAGGGGAGGCCGUUCGUUCGACGGGCCUACAUGUGGGGGAGGGGAAAGGUGUGGCUUUGGUUGGUGAGAAGAAAGUGGUUGGAGAGGGAGAACAUCAUGAUAGGGGAUUCACUGCGAAGAGUGGAACUGGUGAAGGUCGUCCUGUCAAUGAUCGAAGGAAGGAGAGAGACUACCUGAAAACAAAGAUCGAUAAGACUUCUGGUGGAAUUCCAGAUACCCAUUUGGUAGAUGAUGGUGCCUCUUCCGAUUCUGGCUCUGAUAGUUCUUCUUCGCCCGAUGCUUCUAUCACCGACAUUGCACCGAUGAUCGACGAGCUUGACCCACUCCUAGAUGCUGAACCUCAUAAGCGGCCCACUCUUGCAUCCCGACGUGACUCUGGCACUGCUUCUCGAGGUUCCUCUCCAAGCCAGGAAUCCAGUGACAGCAGUCAUGAGGCGGUGGACAAUGCUGAAAACCAGGACGAAGAAGAAGAAGAGGUAGAAGAGGAAGAAGAAGAAGCACAAGAGGAGGAUCGAGAGGACGGGACGGCAGCUGUGGUCAAGUGGACAGAAGAUGAUGAGAAGAAUCUCAUCGAUGUUGGGACUUCUGAGCUGGAAAGGAAUCAACGCUUGGAGAAUCUGAUAGCAAGAAGAAUCGCGAGGAAGACACAAAGAGCCAUGGCCGAGAGGAAUCUGAUCGACUUAGACGGCAAUGACAAUGCACCAGCAAGCACACCAAUCGGCAACCAGUUCUCUAACAUGCAAAUUCAAGUCCCACAGGUUUCAACAAGACACAACCCUUUCGAUCUCCCCUACAAUCUAUACGAAAUUGCUGGCUUGCCGCCAAUUCCCGGAUCAGCACCUCCAGUUCUUGCGCCGAGAAGGAAUCCGUUCGAUAUUCCCAACAGCCAGCCUGAUGGAAGUGGGAACCUUGAGGCCGGGAAUUCAAGCCAAAAUGAUUUCGUAUCAAUCCCACAGCGUGAUAUGUUCUUCCGGAGGUUCGAAAGCUUUACUUUGGGAGCAUCUUUCCCAAUGGAAAGCAGGCAAGAGAGGCAGCCUGUCUUUGUAGUAGAGCGAACUGUGUUGGGGGAGGCCAGCCUCCCCACUUUUGAAAGGCAAUUGAGUGAAGCGAGUGAUUCUAAGGAGAGCUCCAUUUCUGAUACUGAUUCGGCUUCUUCUGUCGUCGAUCAGGAAGAUCAAGAAGAGCUGCUUGAACAAGAACCAAAUCGAGAAGUUCAAUCAGCUUCUCACACCAAACGGGAGGUGAAUGAAUCUUCCGAAGAAGCAAACUCACUGGAGAUCAAGCAAGAUCAAAGCGAUAUUGGCAUUGGUGGGGUGCACAAGAUCGAUUCAAAUGCUUCCGAUUCUGAGUCCAGCUCCUCAUCAUCACUGCAAUCCGAUGAUGAGAAGAUUUUCAAAGCAAAUCCUGAUGAAGGAUUGGCCAGCCUGGAGCCAAUAGGGGGAGAUGAUUUUUCAAAGGCGCCAAUCAGAGCCAUGCGAUUAGUUCAUGAGGGGGUGGAGGGAGUUGAUGAUGGCCCGGUUGAGGAACCAGUUUAUGAUUCCAGUCCAUCGGCAGCUGCGAAAUCCAUCUCUACUAUGUCGGGUGAAGAAGAUUUGUUCUAUGUGGAUAAGGGGAUUGAUGAAUCGACGUCUGCAGCAUCCGAUAAGCAAAUUGAGCCAGGAGAUGGAAUUGCAGGAAAAGGAAUCCCACCCGCUAACGAAGAGUUGUGGGUGGCAUCGUCGAGCUUAUCUGUCGUCGAUCGGGUUGAAUCUAGAUCGGAGGGAGUUCCUGGAAUUAGUGAGGCUGAUGUUAUCCAAGCUGUUCUCGAGUCUUCAUCAGAGACCAAACCGAUGGAGAUCCAUGUCAUGGGUCCCAAACACAAUGCAGAUCGGAAGAUGGGAUCCCCAGAUUCACAGAAAUUGGAUAUCUUGAUCAAGGAAUCGGCAGGUGGGCCAUCUUCUGAGGGUGAUCACAAAGAAUCCCAGAGGAAGCAUUCUGAUGAAACCAACCACGAUAUUGUAGAAACAAAGGAAAUCACAGAAUCAUUGACUGCUUCAGAGAAGAAUGUUGAGAAUAAAUCUACUGUGGAAGUGAUUGAUUCGAAUGCGGGCGGCAUCGAUGAGCAUUUAAAUGAUUUGGAGGAAGCAAAAGAGAGUGUAGGAAUGAAAGAGAUUGAUGAGGGGUCACGUGCUAAAUCAGCUUUAAAUCAAAUCAAUGAAGGAGAAGUUGAGAAAUUGGUCCUGCUUGAGUCGAUUGAUGAGAAGCCAAUGUUGCCAGAUACUGAAAUGGGGCCCGCCGGAAUUGAACUAGCUUCCGAUCUCCGAGAUGGGUCUUCAGGAUCCGCACCGGAUAAGCAAAAUUCUGAGUCACCAGCCAAGAUUCAUUCUGAUAUGCAAGUUCUUGAAGGGAGAUCGCUUGAAGACAUACACUCAGCUUUGAAGCAGCCAAAACCAGUGGAGUCUGAUGGUGGGCCUGUCGACAAUGAGGCGAGCGAAAAACAUAUAGAGCCGCACCUUCUCACAUGAUCUGCGGAGGAGAUCGAGGCAGCUGUUAAGCCAUCCAUGGUGAAUACAGAAGGAAUAAGUGCUGAAAAAUGAAAAUGCAAAGAAAGGAGUAGAGGAAAUAUCCGGCAAUUUGAACUUGCAAGAAAGCAAAAUUGGCUUUCUCAGUGCUUAGGAAAUUCAAGUGAGAGAUUGGAGGGGUGAUUUGCAGUUCACAUAUGAAUGUGGUCCACUUGUGGGGGGGGGAUCCUGGCCACUCAUCAGGAUUUUUUCAAAAAAAUCUGGCCAUGUACUGAUUGUAUGCUGGUCUUGGAUGAACGACAUGAACUUAAAAAGAACAGCUCUAGGGUAACUCGAGCUAGGUACCUGCGGGGGUAAUUUCGCAAAACAACAGCCAUGUGGGUGGAACUUUUAUGAGAUCCACCCGUCCAUCAGGUACUCUGCUUCAUUUUAACCAUUGAAUCCAAAAUCAUGAUAAUCUAACCCUCAGGUAGGCCACACCACAGGAAAUAGUUGGGAUGGAAUGCCUACCAUUAGUUUUGUGUAGGGCCCACUGUGGUGUUUAUAUGCCAUCCAAUCUAUUCAUCUGAUGUGCCUCGUUGGGAUGGAAGAAUUACCUAAAAAUCAGUAUUCCAAAACUCAGGUGGGACACACCAUGUGAAUUUAGAGGUUUUAUGUUUUUUUGUGUGUGUGUGGAGUGGCCCACAUGAGGGUUGCAUUGUCUUGGUUUCUUGGAUCAAGGACCAAAAAACAAGGGUGAUGUGCCAGAUGGACGGCAUGGAUUUCAUUCACAUUAAGUCGUUUCUCCCAUGUUAGUGAAAGUAAUCCCUGUAGAUACCCAGCGCAAGGUACCCAAGUGUUUUCCCCCUGAAAAAUAUGAUCAACGGUCUAUAUUCAAUCUACACAUUGCGACCACCUGAUGAGUGGGACCGGCUUCUUCUUCGGACCAGGGCAUGAUGUGCUGAUGAGUGGCCCAUUUCUCACACAUUUGUGGUGGGUACAUCAAUCUCUCCUCCCAUUCUCAUUUCUUGAUUUGGGUGUGUAAAAGAGUGAGUUCUUUUGGGUUGUGUUUGGAUGCACCAUUGAAUUGAAUUGCAAUAACUGGGCUAAUAAAAUGGUAAUUACCAGAUUGAUGUGAUUUCAUCCCAUUGGCAAUCAUAUCAACGGGCCAGAUUCCAAAUUGCAAUUAAGUUACUUUCAGUUAGGACUCAAAACAUCACCACCUUUGUUCAUUUCCUAUUCAUUAACUUGAUUUUCGCAAUCCAAUUCACUUGUGCAUCCAAAGGCAGCCUUCUGUGGAUUGGAAACUGUUUCAUCAUUUGCAAGUUGUAAACUAUAUUUGUUGGACGCCUGAAAAUGAGUGUGGACAUUUGUGAUCAUAGACCUGAGGAUAUGGACAAUGUAUGCUGGUUUUCAGGUUGUGCAAGUGGGGCCCAU